Molecule: long non-coding RNA, 594 nt
Organism: Ornithorhynchus anatinus (platypus)
Lineage: Eukaryota; Metazoa; Chordata; Mammalia; Monotremata; Ornithorhynchidae
Exons: 3
Source: RefSeq, a predicted model, not a curated record
AAUGCUUAGUACAGUACUUUAAACCCAUUAAGCACUAAAAAAAUAUGAAUAAGUGAAUGAAGCCUUAUUCCUUCUUGGCAGCACCUAAAACGCAGUAAGGGAAAGCCAGGAGUGGAAAUGCCCAGUCGACUACUUUGGUGGGUAGGCAAGGUCAGGAACCCGGAUAGCUUUGGAGGUCCCGGUUUUUGAGGCUGGAGGACUCCCAGAGUUUUUGCCCGACCCUCCUUGAAUUUCCCCAGGCUUCCUCCUCCUCCUCCUUCACGUGGUGGGAGCCAGCUGCAACUUUGCCCCUCCCCUCCACCCAACUCACUGACUUAAGGGCCACAUUUUCUUCCUACCUCACCAGAGGAGGGGAAAAAAGUUUCUUUUUUCAGUCUUCAGAACUGAUAGGAUUUUGAGAAGCAAAGUGGACUAGUGGAAAGAGCGUGGGCCUGGAUUCUCCUCCUAAUUUUGCCACUUUAAUGCUGCUUGACCUUGGGAAGCACUUGACAUUGAUAUUCAAAUGCCAGGACGCUCCUUUGGAUCAUGGCAAUUUGCAGAGACUUUGGUGAGAUCUACAGAUGAAGUAACUGAGGCACAGAGGAGUGAGGUGAC